AUUGAACGCUGGCGGCAGGCCUAACACAUGCAAGUCGAGCGGAUGAGUGGAGCUUGCUCCAUGAUUCAGCGGCGGACGGGUGAGUAAUGCCUAGGAAUCUGCCUGGUAGUGGGGGACAACGUUUCGAAAGGAACGCUAAUACCGCAUACGUCCUACGGGAGAAAGUGGGGGAUCUUCGGACCUCACGCUAUCAGAUGAGCCUAGGUCGGAUUAGCUAGUUGGUGAGGUAAAGGCUCACCAAGGCGACGAUCCGUAACUGGUCUGAGAGGAUGAUCAGUCACACUGGAACUGAGACACGGUCCAGACUCCUACGGGAGGCAGCAGUGGGGAAUAUUGGACAAUGGGCGAAAGCCUGAUCCAGCCAUGCCGCGUGUGUGAAGAAGGUCUUCGGAUGUAAGCACUUUAAGUUGGGAGGAGGGCAGUAAGUUAAUACUUGCUGUUUGACGUUACCAACAGAAUAAGCACCGGCUAACUUCGUGCCACG
This 484-nucleotide ribosomal RNA is filed under the name uncultured bacterium. RNAcentral describes it as "bacterial SSU rRNA". It matches the Rfam family "Bacterial small subunit ribosomal RNA", at positions 30 to 512 of the family's 1533-position model. The record is from RNAcentral.